RNAcentral lists this long non-coding RNA (4980 nucleotides) under Canis lupus familiaris (dog). RNAcentral describes it as "lncRNA (ENSCAFG00000057731.1)". The record is from RNAcentral. Lineage: Eukaryota; Metazoa; Chordata; Mammalia; Carnivora; Canidae.
CUAGUACUUUUUUCACAGGGUUACUUGUACAGACUGAAAGAAAUUACAAAUGUAGAGGAUUUUACACUGUGCCUAAAAAAUGAUGUUGUAUGUAUUAUAUUUUUAAAAAUAAGCUACGCGGAUUAGAAUGUUUUAUGGUGUUAUCUCUGGUGACAUCUAUUAGUCAUUUGUAUUUAACCUUCAAUCCACUCUUGUCUAACUUGUUUAAAAGCCUUUAAAGUCUUGGAACGUGUUCUAUUUCUUUGUAUCCCCUACAUAGCACGGGACUUUGCACAGAGAAGAUUCUCCGAAGAUAUUCAUUGAGGUGAUUUCAUUUCAUAAGAUAUUCUGUUUAAAUAGCAAAGGGAAGGACGAUUCAAUAUAUACUGUGGAUUUUGAUGAUGUGUUUGUUUCUUUUUUAUGCUAAGGAGCUCUUUGUUUUGCCUUUUCCCUUCUGUGCUCACGUUUUGAAAUGCCACUCGGGGGCAGCAUUGAGUCAGCUUGCACGUGAACUAGAAGAAAAUACAAACCUCCCAAGAUCAAGUCUUGGCACCACGCCUUACAAGGAGGCUGUGUCGAUCACAGAACAGAUCCUGACAAACAGUCCGUGAAAAACAGACAGCAGCUGGCUGACUGUGAAGGGAGCUCUGUCCCCCUGCCAAUUGAUACACGAGCCCCGGCAGCAGGUAUUCAGUAAGCGCCUACUUAAAGCGUCGAAUCUGGAACAUCUAAAACGUGGUGCUUGCCCAGACACCUGGCCUGGGACUGUGCACCACGCACCGCAAGGCUGGUGGAGCUGCCCGUCACUCCAGUCUCUGGAGGUGGCCUCAGGUGACCAGUGGCAGAUCACGCUUGUCCCCCGACGCCAUCCCCACCACUGGUCCUCAGCUCGUUACAAGGAAGCGAUUGUUAAUGAGCAUUCAUCUCCGAUCUGUGGAUUCGAUUCCAAAGUCUUGUAAACUUCAACCAUGUGAAUUCAUGUGUGGUUUCACAUAUGACAAGAAUGCCUCUUUUAAGGGCGCCUGGGUGGCUGAGAUGGGUUAAUCAUCUGAUUUUGGCUCAGGUCAUGAUCCCAGGGUCCUGAGAUCCAGGAGGGUCACUCCCUCUGCUCAGCGGGGAGUCUGCUUCUACCUCUCCCCCUGCCUCUCUGUCCAGUUGUGCUCUCUCUCGCUCUUGCUCUCAAAAGAAAUAAAUAAAAUCUUUAGAUAAAUAAAUAAAUAAAUAAAUAAAUAAAUACCUUUCCUUUUCUUUAGCUCUUUGGAGUUCGCCGCCACCUGCUGGAAAGGAUGCUGCUUGAUUCAUGACUCAAUUAGUAAAGCCAGUUAGAUCUUUAAAAUUUACUUGGCUGCAUUUUUGUUAUGUAACAACCCCAACCUCCCAUUGCUGUUGCUGAGGUUCCUCCUCAUUGCGUCUUUUUUUAAAAAAAAAGAAUUUAUUUAGUUACUCAUGAGAGACACACAGAGAGAGAGAGAGAGAGAGAGAGAAGCAGAGACACAGGCAGAGGAAGAAGCAGGCUCCAUGCAGGGAACCUGAUGUGGGACUCGAUCCUGGGACUCCAGGAUCUCGCCCUGUGCCGAAGGUGGCGCUAAACUGCUGAGCCACCCAGGGAUCCCCCCUCAUUGCUUCUUGAAAGCAGGACCAGUUCCUGGAAACAUCGGGGGUUUUCUCAGUGAAGUGAGAAUCUUUGUGGUACAAUUUCUGCUGUCUGCCUACUUAGGAGGGGCCUAGCUUUGUGGCCUUGACUUCACUAGGGCCGUUAUGUACACCCUUCUCCAGCAAGCUGGUUUUACUUACUCCUGUCUCGCAGCCCUGUUGAGUUUUGAAGUUUUCCAAGAGAACACCUGCAAGUCUCGUUCAAACAAAUUCAUCCUCUCCAAGGUGAUACCAAGUCAUGCAGCCUCGAGUCUCCCUCUCCUCUGUGAAACCGUAACACGCUCUGGAACAAAAGGCUGUUGACUAUUAAAAGGACACAGUUUCAGAUACUGAUGGCUGUAAGUCAGCUGUCCCGGCUGCUGCCUGCCCUGGGCUGACACAUCCCUCAGAAAUGCACUUUUCCUGGGAAGACCGACCAUCUCCUAAUCCUCCUGGACUGUAAAAACAAAACAAAAAACCAAGGGCAAUUUCUCAAGAAGGAGAUGUCUCUUUGAAAAACACCCUGAGGCAUAUAAAUAAGUAAUAUCUAGUUAAAAUGCAGAUUCUCAAACACCACCCCAGCAAUUAUUCAUUUAUCUGGGAUGAGGCACAGGACCGCAUUUUCUGACGGGCCUGGGGGCACCCAUGCAGCCUUGUUUGGAGAAACACUGAUAAGGCUUCAAGUUCUGUGUGGCAUUCUGGAAGCAUACUUUACAUUUUAAGAAGAGAAAAAUAUCUACUUAAAUUAGAUCAAGGCAGAGGCCUCAGAGACUUAAGGUAACCGAGAUAAGGGAGAAAUAUACUCACCUGCUUCACCUCCACUGCUUCACAAAACCAUUUUUCCCAGUCCACAUUUUUACUCCUAAUUAUUUACCACCUCACCUCAGGAAGAUUUGAGGCAAUGGACUUGGCCUUCUUAGCACUCAAGGGUCAUUAACCCAUUCUCUCAUUCAGGGAGACAGGAAGCAGUUAUUUGAAGAAUUGACUGGAAACAAGGGGGCAAGGUACGUGUUACCCUGACCCCCCUCCAGGGAAAGGAGUCUGAGCUUCUAGUGAACAUCACCUAUGCUGCGUCUCUCUGUGCUCAGAGACAGACACGUUCUGAGAACUGUUCUCUCUGUUGCCUCCUUGUGAGUCCUUGUGUUACCCUGGCUACACCUUAGGAUCACCUGCCAAGCUCUUCAAACAGACUAAUCCUAACUCCAGGCCUCCCCGAUUUAAAGGUCUAACUAGGUUGCUGAAGAGAACACUGUCUGAGCUGCUUUGAAGGGUGACCUGCCCACCGGGGGAGGAACACGUUUGCAGUGGCAGGGAAGUAUUCAUUUAUUUAACAAAUGUUUAUUGGAGGCCUACUCUCGGCAGGGCAGUGCCCUAGGAGAAAACUAUGGGGAAAUGAGACACAGAGCCUGGCCCUGAGGAGCUUGGAGCCUGGAGCCAUGAAAGGACAUCUCUGGUAUAGACAAUGGCACUCACCUCCGGUUUCUCUGCUUCUGCCCCUGCGCCCUGCAGCAACAUGCACCUGCUAAAACCCGGAUCUGAUAAUGAUGCUCCUCACUCAACACCUGCCUGUGGUUUUGUGAGAACAAAAUCUAAAGUCCCACAGUGAUCUGGGAAGCCCUAAAUUAUCUGGCCCUUUCUUGAAUCACUGACCUCAUCUCCUGGGUUCUUCCCUUGCUACCCAAGGCUCAGCCUCCGCCCUUCCAUUUCUCAUCCUCAAACCAGCCGGCAUCCUCCUGACUUCUCUUGCAGCGCUCUCCUCUUCCCUCUGCCCUGAAGGCUCUGCAGGACUCCCCACCUCCCCAGGGGUCUGCUUCAGGUCUCUGCUUCUAUUUGACAUCAUUGGCAGGGGCACCUUGGUGGCUCAGUUGGUUGAGCGUCUGCCUUUGGUUCAGAUCGUGAUCCUGGGGUCCUGGGAUCGAGUUCUGCAUCGGGCUCCCUACAGGAAGCCUGCUUCUCCCACUGCCUAUGUUUCUGCCUUUCUCUGUGUCUCUCAUGAAUAAAUAAGUAAAAUCUUGACCUCGUGGGCAGGCAGCACUGACCAUCCAACGCAAAAGAACAAAUAGCCUUCCUACCUUGCCAGCCUCUCUUUUUUUAUCCACUUUAUCGUUCUAGAGUACCUCACCUGUGUGACACACUGUAUCUUUCUUUUUUGACUUCUGCAUUUCUCCUACACUGGUCAGCACCCUUUGCAUUGGUGUAUUCCAAGCUGGGCCUUGCCACCUGCUGCGCUGCUAAAUGCCUGGCAGUGCAAGGCCCAUGGUUGGCAUGCAAUACGUACCCAUUGAAUGGAAGAAUACCUGGGAAUCCACCCACGGGGGCAGGAAGUGGGGCUGGAAGGGAGCCAACAGAAGCCCAGAAAGGGUGAUUUUACCUUGUGGAGGAACUGAUUUUUUUGCUUUAAAGGAAGAGACAGGGGCAACCUAGUGGCUCAGCAGUUUAGUGCCGCCUUCAGCCCAGGAUGUGAUCCUGGAGACCCAGGAUCGAGUCCCACAUCAGGCUCCUUGCAGGGAGCCUGCUUCUUCUUCUGCCUGUGUCUCUGCCUCUCUCUCUCUGUGUCUUCCAUGAAUAAAUAAAUAAAUAAAUAAAAUCUUUUAAUAAAUAAAUAAAUAAAGGAAGAGACAGGGGGCACCUGGGUGGCUCAGCAGUUGAGCGUCUGCCUUUGGUCCAGGUUGUGGUCCCAGGGUUCUGGGAUUGAGUCCCACAUCCGGCUCCUCAUGGAAGCCUGCUUUCCCUCAAGGUCUCUGCCUAUGUCUCUGCCUCUCUGUGUCUCUCAUGAAUAAAUAUAUAAAAUCUUUAAAAAAAAAUAAAGGAAGAGACAGGAUCAGAUCCAUGAUUUAGAAAGAGUCCUCAGAGCAGAAGAUAAGUGCACCUAUUUCCCCAUUUUAUAGAUGAAGAUGCUAAGACACCAAGGUAAUACAAAGGGCCCAUGUUUGCAAAGCUAGUAAGUGAAUUAGCAAGAUUCUGUCUGGGGAAGUUUGCCUCUAGAGCCAGCCUUAAUCACCAGGAUCUACUCCCAUCAGAUUAAGACAUAUUUUUCUGACCCAUUGUUUUUGAUUCAUUGUGUACUUUAAACCAAUACACAACACCAGAGCUUAAACACAGUAGGUAUGCAUUUAAUUUCCCUUUUCCAAAGGGAAGAGAAUCACGAGACAUAUUCUGUGCAUGAUGCCCCAGUCUGGCAUGUCCUUCUCUGUCCUCUCAGCUGCAGUCAGGUCUUGAGGAGUGGUUUCCAGAUAAGACACUACUCCAGGUGUGUACAGGUAUUGCAUUAGGCUCUAGGAGGCACUGGCAAGGAAGGAACAUUUCCCCCUGUGGCUAGCCGCCUAGGGCAACUGUCAAUUAACAAAGAAAGAUUACAGUUUUGAAAAU